This 654-nucleotide long non-coding RNA is filed under the name Ananas comosus (pineapple). Its description in RNAcentral is "long non-coding RNA (ACOM_LNC043092)". Lineage: Eukaryota; Viridiplantae; Streptophyta; Magnoliopsida; Poales; Bromeliaceae. The record is from RNAcentral.
AAUGAAGUUUGGGUUUAACUCGAGCUCGGAUGAAAAUGACUUAUCUCCUACUAGCUGUGGAAGUUAAGUUCUUCCAGUUUUAUUAUUUAUUUGGUAAAAAAUGAAUGUUGUAAAAAGUGAAGAUUCCUACUUUUUAUAUUCGUUUCACGGAAAACUGUUGAAUCUUCACACUACUGGUAUAAACUUACCUCCGGUAUAUAGUUCUCGGCCAUGGAUGGUUUUCUUAGGCUGUCUAGUUCCUUGGAAAAGAAUGGAAAAAAAAAUUUCGAAGAAAAUUUUUUUCAUAGAAAAUCUCUAUUUCAGUUUUCUGCCAGUUUGGUUCAAAAAAAAAUUGAAAAUAUUCUUUCCAAAUUUUAUGGAUCAACAAUAUUUUCUUUUCCUAAAAAAGAAAAUCUGAAAAACGAAACUAUUAAUUUGUCAUAAAUUUUGAAAAAUAAAUUUUCAAAAGAACUAAUUUUCUUUGAAAAUAAACAGACAAAAAACUAAAAAGAAAAUUCAUAAAAUACAUUUUUCUUAUUAAGAAACUAUUUUCUACACUUUUCUGGCCAACCAAACACCCUUUAGUCAUACAUUGGUGUAUUUAUGGUUUUACAACCUUUAAUACUAUAGUGAAUAAGAUAAACACUAGAAACAAGUUCUUCAACCAUAUAAUAU